This 346-nucleotide ribosomal RNA is filed under the name uncultured bacterium. RNAcentral describes it as "partial 16S ribosomal RNA". It matches the Rfam family "Bacterial small subunit ribosomal RNA", at positions 338 to 676 of the family's 1533-position model. The record is from RNAcentral.
CCUACGGGUGGCAGCAGUGGGGAAUAUUGCGCAAUGGGCGAAAGCCUGACGCAGCGACGCCGCGUGAGGGAUGAAGGUCUUCGGAUCGUAAACCUCUGUCAGCAGGGAAGAACGGUCACUGAGCUAAUCAGCAGUGAAUUGACGGUACCUGCAAAGGAAGCACCGGCUAACUCCGUGCCAGCAGCCGCGGUAAUACGGAGGGUGCGAGCGUUAAUCGGAAUUACGGGGCGUAAAGCGCGCGUAGGCGGUAUGUCAAGUCAAGGGUGAAAUCCCCGCGCUCAACGUUGGAACUGCCUUUGAAACUGGCAACCUGGUGUGUGUGAGAGGAUAGUGGAAUUCCCGGUGU